This 1159-nucleotide long non-coding RNA is filed under the name Gallus gallus (chicken). RNAcentral describes it as "long non-coding RNA NONGGAT002806". The record is from RNAcentral. Lineage: Eukaryota; Metazoa; Chordata; Aves; Galliformes; Phasianidae.
UGAGGGACGUGCGGGCCAAGUGCUUUGCUGAAGGACAGGAGAGCCCUGAGGGCUCGAUUUUGGACUUGGGGAAAAGCAUGCUCAGUCCCAAGCCUCCAGGCUCACUGGGCCUGGACAGGUAAGGCAACAGCUGUACAGGCUUUGGUUCCUCUCCCCUACACUCCUAUAGAAAUGUGCCCCGUGAGUCUGCCUGGAGGAUCCAGAAAGAGGAACGCAGAAGUCCUUUCCACCCUCCCAACUCUUCUGGCACCUGGCAGCCAAUUGCACAUUAGGUGCUGAGACCAUCAGGUAUUUUUUCAUGUGGGCAUCUGAACGGUGGUGGGACUGCAGUCUCUUUUGGUCACAAUAACCCUGAAGAUGUUUGUGACAGCUUUUUACACCUCUUAUGCAAUACAGAAGGAGUUUGUGAUAAUUUCAUGCCACAGGAACCACUCUUUAGAUGCUGAGAGCAGCAUCUUCCCAAACAGCUGACUGAUCUGCAGGGGAAAGACAAGCCAGUGUGCCAGGGAUGGAGCAAGUACUGCUCUGCAUCAGCUGCUCCUGGAGGAGAGGGGGAGAACAGCAGCAGUGGUGUUGUGGAUGGUGUGGAAACCAACUUCAGCUCAGGACUUGCAAUGGCUGCUUUCCUGAAGGUUAGAACAAAUGUACGGAAAAGGUAUUUGGAGUUAAGACUUGCCUUAAAAAAAAAAAAACACAGGAAAGCUAAAGCAAGUAUGAAAAUAAAUUAGAAAUGAGGGGCAGAUAAAAGCAGAACCUGCAGGAAUCAAAUCUAAACAAAAAGCAGGGGCUGGGCCGUCCAGUGAGAAAGCCACAAAUGGCAGGGGUUGAAAUGUAAAACCUACAGGCCACUGAGAAACAUGAAAGAUGCUGUUGUGUUCCACACCUCCUUUUCCCGGGUGUAGCUGUCUCCAUACAGUGAAGGGCAGUAAUGAAUCAAGCUCCUUUCCUCUCCUCCUGUGUUUUCUAUUCAAUUAUUCACAGGCUGUGCCAGUUCUGCUUUAUUUCUCCCCUCCAUAUGCUGCACUCUCCUCCUGGGGUUUUCUAUUCUGAGCUAUGCCUUUGGCCUCUCUCCCAUUUCUUUCUCCUCAGCAUGUGCCCCCUGCUCUGCUAUGAUCUGCUGCCUUUGUAACCUCUGCUGUGCACAUAUGCUGGCUCUCCC